This 457-nucleotide ribosomal RNA is filed under the name Staphylococcus haemolyticus. RNAcentral describes it as "bacterial SSU rRNA". It matches the Rfam family "Bacterial small subunit ribosomal RNA", at positions 118 to 562 of the family's 1533-position model. Lineage: Bacteria; Bacillati; Bacillota; Bacilli; Caryophanales; Staphylococcaceae. The record is from RNAcentral.
UGGGUAACCUACCUAUAAGACUGGGAUAACUUCGGGAAACCGGAGCUAAUACCGGAUAAUAUUUCGAACCGCAUGGUUCGAUAGUGAAAGAUGGUUUUGCUAUCACUUAUAGAUGGACCCGCGCCGUAUUAGCUAGUUGGUAAGGUAACGGCUUACCAAGGCGACGAUACGUAGCCGACCUGAGAGGGUGAUCGGCCACACUGGAACUGACACACGGUCCAGACUCCUACGGGAGGCAGCAGUAGGGAAUCUUCCGCAAUGGGCGAAAGCCUGACGGAGCAACGCCGCGUGAGUGAUGAAGGUCUUCGGAUCGUAAAACUCUGUUAUUAGGGAAGAACAUACGUGUAAGUAACUAUGCACGUCUUGACGGUACCUAAUCAGAAAGCCACGGCUAACUACGUGCCAGCAGCCGCGGUAAUACGUAGGUGGCAAGCGUUAUCCGGAAUUAUUGGGCGUA